Molecule: ribosomal RNA, 2923 nt
Filed under: Klebsiella pneumoniae 30684/NJST258_2
Lineage: Bacteria; Pseudomonadati; Pseudomonadota; Gammaproteobacteria; Enterobacterales; Enterobacteriaceae
Description: bacterial LSU rRNA
Rfam family: Bacterial large subunit ribosomal RNA
Source: RNAcentral
UGAAACAUCUUCGGGUUGUGAGGUUAAGCGACUAAGCGUACACGGUGGAUGCCCUGGCAGUCAGAGGCGAUGAAGGACGUGCUAAUCUGCGAAAAGCGUCGGUAAGGUGAUAUGAACCGUUACAGCCGGCGAUGUCCGAAUGGGGAAACCCAGUGCAAUUCGUUGCACUAUCGUUAACUGAAUACAUAGGUUAACGAGGCGAACCGGGGGAACUGAAACAUCUAAGUACCCCGAGGAAAAGAAAUCAACCGAGAUUCCCCCAGUAGCGGCGAGCGAACGGGGAGCAGCCCAGAGUCUGAAUCAGCUUGUGUGUUAGUGGAACGGUCUGGAAAGUCCGACGGUACAGGGUGAUAGUCCCGUACACCAAAAUGCACAGGUUGUGAACUCGAAGAGUAGGGCGGGACACGUGGUAUCCUGUCUGAAUAUGGGGGGACCAUCCUCCAAGGCUAAAUACUCCUGACUGACCGAUAGUGAACCAGUACCGUGAGGGAAAGGCGAAAAGAACCCCGGCGAGGGGAGUGAAAAAGAACCUGAAACCGUGUACGUACAAGCAGUGGGAGCACCUUCGGGUGUGACUGCGUACCUUUUGUAUAAUGGGUCAGCGACUUAUAUUCUGUAGCAAGGUUAACCGUAUAGGGGAGCCGCAGGGAAACCGAGUCUUAACUGGGCGUUAAGUUGCAGGGUAUAGACCCGAAACCCGGUGAUCUAGCCAUGGGCAGGUUGAAGGUUGGGUAACACUAACUGGAGGACCGAACCGACUAAUGUUGAAAAAUUAGCGGAUGACUUGUGGCUGGGGGUGAAAGGCCAAUCAAACCGGGAGAUAGCUGGUUCUCCCCGAAAGCUAUUUAGGUAGCGCCUCGUGAACUCAUCUUCGGGGGUAGAGCACUGUUUCGGCUAGGGGGUCAUCCCGACUUACCAACCCGAUGCAAACUACGAAUACCGAAGAAUGUUAUCACGGGAGACACACGGCGGGUGCUAACGUCCGUCGUGAAGAGGGAAACAACCCAGACCGCCAGCUAAGGUCCCAAAGUCAUGGUUAAGUGGGAAACGAUGUGGGAAGGCACAGACAGCCAGGAUGUUGGCUUAGAAGCAGCCAUCAUUUAAAGAAAGCGUAAUAGCUCACUGGUCGAGUCGGCCUGCGCGGAAGAUGUAACGGGGCUAAACCAUGCACCGAAGCUGCGGCAGCGACACUAUGUGUUGUUGGGUAGGGGAGCGUUCUGUAAGCCUGCGAAGGUGUGCUGUGAGGCAUGCUGGAGGUAUCAGAAGUGCGAAUGCUGACAUAAGUAACGAUAAAGCGGGUGAAAAGCCCGCUCGCCGGAAGACCAAGGGUUCCUGUCCAACGUUAAUCGGGGCAGGGUGAGUCGACCCCUAAGGCGAGGCCGAAAGGCGUAGUCGAUGGGAAACAGGUUAAUAUUCCUGUACUUGGUGUUACUGCGAAGGGGGGACGGAGAAGGCUAUGUUAGCCGGGCGACGGUUGUCCCGGUUUAAGCAUGUAGGCUGGUUAUCCAGGCAAAUCCGGAUAANCAAGGCUGAGGUGUGAUGACGAGGCACUACGGUGCUGAAGUAACAAAUGCCCUGCUUCCAGGAAAAGCCUCUAAGCAUCAGGUAACAUCAAAUCGUACCCCAAACCGACACAGGUGGUCAGGUAGAGAAUACCAAGGCGCUUGAGAGAACUCGGGUGAAGGAACUAGGCAAAAUGGUGCCGUAACUUCGGGAGAAGGCACGCUGGUGUGUAGGUGAAGUCCCUGCGGAUGGAGCUGAGACCAGUCGAAGAUACCAGCUGGCUGCAACUGUUUAUUAAAAACACAGCACUGUGCAAACACGAAAGUGGACGUAUACGGUGUGACGCCUGCCCGGUGCCGGAAGGUUAAUUGAUGGGGUUAUCCGUAAGGAGAAGCUCUUGAUCGAAGCCCCGGUAAACGGCGGCCGUAACUAUAACGGUCCUAAGGUAGCGAAAUUCCUUGUCGGGUAAGUUCCGACCUGCACGAAUGGCGUAAUGAUGGCCAGGCUGUCUCCACCCGAGACUCAGUGAAAUUGAACUCGCUGUGAAGAUGCAGUGUACCCGCGGCAAGACGGAAAGACCCCGUGAACCUUUACUAUAGCUUGACACUGAACAUUGAGCCUUGAUGUGUAGGAUAGGUGGGAGGCUUUGAAGCGUGGACGCCAGUCUGCGUGGAGCCAACCUUGAAAUACCACCCUUUAAUGUUUGAUGUUCUAACGUUGGCCCCUGACCGGGGUUGCGGACAGUGUCUGGUGGGUAGUUUGACUGGGGCGGUCUCCUCCCAAAGCGUAACGGAGGAGCACGAAGGUUAGCUAAUCCUGGUCGGACAUCAGGAGGUUAGUGCAAUGGCAUAAGCUAGCUUGACUGCGAGCGUGACGGCGCGAGCAGGUGCGAAAGCAGGUCAUAGUGAUCCGGUGGUUCUGAAUGGAAGGGCCAUCGCUCAACGGAUAAAAGGUACUCCGGGGAUAACAGGCUGAUACCGCCCAAGAGUUCAUAUCGACGGCGGUGUUUGGCACCUCGAUGUCGGCUCAUCACAUCCUGGGGCUGAAGUAGGUCCCAAGGGUAUGGCUGUUCGCCAUUUAAAGUGGUACGCGAGCUGGGUUUAGAACGUCGUGAGACAGUUCGGUCCCUAUCUGCCGUGGGCGCUGGAGAAUUGAGGGGGGCUGCUCCUAGUACGAGAGGACCGGAGUGGACGCAUCACUGGUGUUCGGGUUGUCAUGCCAAUGGCACUGCCCGGUAGCUAAAUGCGGAAGAGAUAAGUGCUGAAAGCAUCUAAGCACGAAACUUGCCCCGAGAUGAGUUCUCCCUGAGACUUUAAGUCUCCUGAAGGAACGUUAAAGACGAUGACGUUGAUAGGCCGGGUGUGUAAGCGCAGCGAUGCGUUGAGCUAACCGGUACUAAUGAACCGUGAGGCUUAACCUU